GAAGGAUUCUAACAGUCUAGCAAACAUUGAGAUGACUAAGAACUAACAACCAGAGUCCUGUUACUGCAGUGAGGUUAAGGCUAGUUCUGAGCUCCACGUUUCCUGGUGCUGGAAUCCUCCCUUACCUAGCUAGUGUCACUACUGGAAGAGAGAUGCUUCAUUCCUAUUCCUCUACCCACCCAACAGAUACUGUGAGGUCUUACCUUGGUGAUUCCAGAAUUCUAAAAUAAAUGGAAAGAGCCUCAACUAUCAAACUGACAAUGCAAUAGUUUUCUGAAAUGCUGAAAGAAAAGAAAGGCUUGGAUCAUGAAGAACUCAAAAGUAGGACUGAAAUUUUUUCUCCAAAUACAGCCACUGGGCAGCUAUUUGAAGACAUAAUUGGAUUUGAGUCUCAUCCAAAGAGUCAGAAAGACUCUUACGGGAAACAGCAGGAGUGUCACGUGAAUACAAGCUUACAAAUGACAACAGCAUUACAGUGGACUCUGGAAUUUUGCCGAGCACUAAGUUGUAUCUGCUGGUUUUUCCUGGCAUGA
Molecule: long non-coding RNA, 533 nt
Filed under: Canis lupus familiaris (dog)
Lineage: Eukaryota; Metazoa; Chordata; Mammalia; Carnivora; Canidae
Description: lncRNA (ENSCAFG00845026985.1)
Source: RNAcentral